RNAcentral lists this transfer RNA (80 nucleotides) under Rhamnusium bicolor. RNAcentral's name for it is "tRNA-OTHER". Lineage: Eukaryota; Metazoa; Arthropoda; Insecta; Coleoptera; Cerambycidae. The record is from RNAcentral.
GAUUUAAGCUCAAUGGUCUAGAGAUAACGUACGUGUCUCGAAACCUCGGGGACCCGGGUUCGAUUCCCGGUCGAGAAACU